This 433-nucleotide ribosomal RNA is filed under the name uncultured bacterium. RNAcentral describes it as "partial 16S ribosomal RNA". It matches the Rfam family "Bacterial small subunit ribosomal RNA", at positions 29 to 507 of the family's 1533-position model. The record is from RNAcentral.
AACGAACGCUGGCGGCAUGCCUAACACAUGCAAGUCGAACGAGACCUUCGGGUCUAGUGGCGCACGGGUGCGUAACGCGUGGGAACCUGCCCUUAGGUUCGGAAUACCUCCCCGAAAGGGGUGCUAAUACCGGAUAAUGUCUUCGGACCAAAGAUUUAUCGCCUUUGGAUGGGCCCGCGUUGGAUUAGCUAGUUGGUAGGGUAAAAGCCUACCAAGGCGACGAUCCAUAGCUGGUCUGAGAGGAUGAUCAGCCACACUGGGACUGAGACACGGCCCAGACUCCUACGGGAGGCAGCAGUGGGGAAUAUUGGACCAUGGGCGAAAGCCUGAUCCAGCAAUGCCGCGUGAGUGAUGAAGGCAUUAGGGUUGUAAAGCUCUUUUACCCGGGAUGAUAAUGACAGUACCGGGAGAAUAAGCUCCGGCUAACUCCGUG